This 490-nucleotide ribosomal RNA is filed under the name uncultured bacterium. Its description in RNAcentral is "partial 16S ribosomal RNA". It matches the Rfam family "Bacterial small subunit ribosomal RNA", at positions 28 to 507 of the family's 1533-position model. The record is from RNAcentral.
GAUGAACGCUAGCGAUAGGCUUAACACAUGCAAGUCGAGGGGCAGCAUGGUCUUAGCUUGCUAAGACUGAUGGCGACCGGCGCACGGGUGCGUAACGCGUAUGCAACUUGCCUCACAGAGGGGGAUAACCCGUCGAAAGACGGACUAAUACCGCGUACACUCUAUUUUGGGCAUCCAAGGUAGAGGAAAUGAAAUUCGCUGUGAGAUAGGCAUGCGUCCCAUUAGCUAGUUGGUGAGGUAACGGCUCACCAAGGCGACGAUGGGUAGGGGAACUGAGAGGUUGAACCCCCACACUGGUACUGAGACACGGACCAGACUCCUACGGGAGGCAGCAGUGAGGAAUAUUGGUCAAUGGGCGAGAGCCUGAACCAGCCAAGUCGCGUGAAGGAUGACUGUCUUAUGGAUUGUAAACUUCUUUUGUAGGGGAAUAAAGAGGGGCACGUGUGCCACAGUGAAUGUACCCUACGAAUAAGCAUCGGCUAACUCCGUG